CGGAGACUUAGAUGUUGGCGCGGUGCGGCGGGAUGGAGGACUGGGCCAGGGCGGGCUGAAGGGACCUGGGCCGCGCCCUGGGAUGGAGCGGGCCUGGGCAGCGGCCUGUCAGUGCGCUCACGCCGCCCGCCGUGGGAGGCUCUCUGUGCGGGAGGGUAGGCGACAGCCUCCGUGCGGCUGCCCCGGGACGUGGACACGUUGUCUUCCACUGGUACGUGAACUCUGAACUCAGUUUGGAGAGAAAACGUAUGUUUCCCAAGCGAUCAGAGAACUAGGAGCCGUUCAGGCGGGGCAGACGGCAUCCAUGAACCCCGGGGUGUCGGGGCCUACGUUGCUUGUGUUCGCUGGCGCCCCAAGUUAGGCGCUGGAGAGGCGAGCGGGACUGGGGUGAGGAGAGCAGGGGCUCUGGUCUGGAAGCUUCCCUGUCCGUGAGGGCUCGAGCCUGGGUUUCAAGGAGCCUCAUGCAGUAGAAGCAUCUGGCUGUGGAAGUAACUCAGUGCAAGGGGGAGUGGAAAGAGCUGAGGACUCUGAGUUUCCACUUCUAGCGAGGAGCCAAGAUGGAGGUCACAGGGCGAGAGAGAGAGAGAAGGAAUUCCUGGUCUCUCUAGCGGUGUUGAGUUUAGGAUUCUGGAGUGUGUGGCUGGAUGUGCAGGAAGGAAUGGCAGGGACAGGGAGCCCUGGAGGCAGGCAGGUCUGGACUAGAGACGGAGCAUGGGGCGGUCCCUGAAACCCCACCCCACUAACAGGGAAAGAGGAAACCGGAGAAGGAAGGAGAAGAAGCACCCUCUUCCCCAGCCUUGCAGCCAGACUAGUCCCCUUCUGGGUGCAGCAUGACGAACGAAGGGGACUUUUGUGUGCAGGUAUAGUGAUAGGACUAAAUCUGCUCUGCCACUGCUGUGUGUCAGCACGAUGUUAAGGUCUAUAAAUAGUACUCAUUUAGUCCUCACAGCAGCACCAUGAGGCAGGGCCUGCUAUUCUCCCAGAAGUCUAUAGAUGAGGAAACUGAGGCCCAGAGAGGUGAAGGAGGGCUGUUCAGGGUCCUACAGUGGCAACUGGUGGAGCUGGGACUUUGAGACCAGGCAGGCUGGCAGCAGAAUGGGUGCUCCCAGCCCUCACCCUUGGAUGCCUCUGGACAAGGAAGGAGAGAACAGAGGGUGGAGGUGGACACAGACAGUGGGAGACUGCCCAAGGAUGGGCAGGAGUGUCAGGACACGAUGGCUUCAUGUAGAGUCUUGGGCAGCUUUCUUAUGUGUGGUGUACAUUUGUGUGUGUGUGUGUGUGUUCCUGAGUGAGAGGGCAGGGAGAGGACGAGACUGGGCGUGUUGGCCCCUCUGCCAAGGGCUCAGCUGUUGAGGAGCAGCAGCCUAGGGGUAAGAGCGGGGCGCUGGGAUGCAGGAAUUACUUUGAGCAGAAGGAAAACCUCUCCCCUGAGAAGUUGAGAGGACCCACUAGGGAGGGUGCAGGCCUAGAGGAGUUUGUGUGCCAGGAAAGUGGAGUUGUCUAGGGUCAUCCCUUGGAGUGAAUUAGGAGGCAGGUUUGUCUGCACAGAGAGGAUAAUGGUGAGAGGGGCUGGAAGAGGGAGUUCGAGCAUGGACUUGUUGCUGUAAGGGGGAUGGAGAUGGAGUGGAUGUCGGUAUCGCAGUCUUAUACCACACAGGACUCAGAAGCCAGCAGGGGCAGGCUGAGAGGGCAGCCAGUGGCGUGGGGCAGAUUGUGCACAGCACCCAAGUGAGAGAGGCUGACUGCUGAGCCCUGGAUGGAGGAUGCUAAGAGAGAAGGCAGGGGCAGUGGACUGGGCAGGGGUGUACCAGAGCAGGAGGCUGAGAGCUAGGAUGGCAGGGUGCUUAGGGCCAUGGGUGCAGAGUUCCUGGCUUCCUACUCCCUAGCCAUAAGGCCUUGAUUAGGGUUUACUCAAGCUCUUUCUGCCUUGGUGUCCUCGUCUACAAAAUGAGGACAGUACUGUUAAUCUUCCUUGUGGGGUUGCGGGGAGGAUCAGAUGCAUGAAUUCAGGCAAGUACUGGGCACAGCACCUGGCUUACAAGAAGUACAGCCUGAGUGGUUGGUGGAUUCUGAGGGGUGAAAUGCAAGGAGAGUGAGGCAGGGGAGGAGGCUAGGGUCAGAGGCCCCGUGGUGUUUUAAUUCACAUGUCUUUGACUCAGAGAGCAGCUUUUUUUUUUUUUUAAAGAUUUUUUUUAUUUUUUCCUUUUUCUCCCCAAAGCCCCCCGGUACAUAGUUGCACAUUCUUCGUUGUGGGUCCUUCUAGUUGUGGCAUGUGGGACGCUGCCUCAGCGUGGUCUGAUGGGCAGUGCCAUGUCCGCGCCCAGGAUUCGAACUAACGAAACACUGGGCCGCCUGCAGCGGAGCGCGCGAACUUAACCACUCGGCCACGGGGCCAGCCCCUCAGAGAGCAGCUUUUUACAUGGAUCAGCCAUGCCAUUUAUUUUAUUGUGAAUUACCUGUUCAUGUCUAUCACUUGCUCCUCUUCUUUCUCAUGUCUUUAUUUUAAUAAAGAAGCUUGAGUCUAAUUUUGUCAAGUUCAAAAAAUAAUUCUGGUGGCCUUUUUAUUGAAUUUACACAUUAAAUUUAGGGGAGUUAAUUAUUUUUUUUAACAGGUUUUGGUGUUCUGAUCUCAGAGCAGAGGGAAUCGACCUCUCUCACACAUUGUUGGUGGGAGUCAUAGUAGUGUGAAUGCAACAGCCAUUUGCCGGAGCUUCUGCAACAUUUACUGAAAUUUUUAAAUGCAGCCAUGCUCUUGGCCUUGCAGUUCUACCUCUUGGCAUUUCUGUUUCAGAAAUCCACAAGUGUGUAAAAUAUAUGUGCAAAGAGAUUUGUUGCCCAUUGCUUAUAAUAGCCAAAAAACAGGACAAACUUAAAUGUCCAUCAGAAUAACUUAUGGUCCCUGUGUAGAGUGGAUGAUCAGAUAGCUUUAUAAAGGAAUACAACUGAUGUGUUUGUAUGGAUAUGGAGUGGAGUCCAGGAACCGUAAGUGAAAAAAGCUUCCAGUUAGUACACGUUGAUUA
RNAcentral lists this long non-coding RNA (3020 nucleotides) under Equus asinus (donkey). RNAcentral describes it as "lncRNA (ENSEASG00005023621.1)". Lineage: Eukaryota; Metazoa; Chordata; Mammalia; Perissodactyla; Equidae. The record is from RNAcentral.